GAUUCUGGCUCAGAACGAACGCUGGUGGCGUGUUUUAUACAUGCAAGUCGAGCGAGGACGGUAGCAAUACCGAGCCGAGCGGCGAACGGGUGAGUAACGCGUAAGCAACCUGCCCCACAAUCGGGAACAACCGUGCCAACGCGCGGCUAAUGCCGGAUAUUGUAGUCUACUGCAUAGUAGGCCAACGAAAGAUUUAUUGUUGUGGGAUGAGCUUGCGUCCGAUUAGCCAGUUGGCGGGGUAAUAGCCCACCAAGGCGACGAUCGGUAGCCGGCCUGAGAGGGUGAUCGGCCACAUUGGGACUGAGAUACGGCCCAGACUCCUACGGGAGGCAGCAGUAGGGAAUAUUGCGCAAUGGGGGGAACCCUGACGCAGCCAACGCCACGUGUGGGAAGAAGCAUUUCGGUGUGUAAACCACUGUCGGAAAGGAAUAACGGAAGACUUCGGUCUUUAUGAAUGUACUUUUAGAGGAAGCACCGGCAAACUUCGUGCCAGCCGCUGC
RNAcentral lists this ribosomal RNA (500 nucleotides) under uncultured bacterium. RNAcentral describes it as "bacterial SSU rRNA". It matches the Rfam family "Bacterial small subunit ribosomal RNA", at positions 15 to 518 of the family's 1533-position model. The record is from RNAcentral.